GACGAACGCUGGCGGCGUGCUUAACACAUGCAAGUCGAACGAAGUGGCGAACGGGUGAGUAACGCGUAAUCAACCUGCCCUUCAGAGGGGGACAACAGUUGGAAACGACUGCUAAUACCGCAUACGGAAGGAGGGGAUUGCGUCUGAUUAGCUGUUGGGGGGGGUAACGGCACACCAAGGCGAUGAUACGUAGCCGGUCUGAGAGGGUGAUCGGCCACAUUGGGACUGAGACACGGCCCAGACUCCUACGGGAGGCAGCAGUGGGGAAUCUUCCGCAAUGGACGAAAGUCUGACGGAGCAACGCCGCGUGUAUGAAGAAGGCUUUCGGGUUGUAAAGUACUUUCAUCGGGGAGCGUUACCCGCAGAAGAAGCACCGGCUAACUCCGUGCCAGCAGCCGCGGUAAUAC
This 407-nucleotide ribosomal RNA is filed under the name uncultured bacterium. Its description in RNAcentral is "partial 16S ribosomal RNA". It matches the Rfam family "Bacterial small subunit ribosomal RNA", at positions 28 to 526 of the family's 1533-position model. The record is from RNAcentral.